This 467-nucleotide ribosomal RNA is filed under the name uncultured bacterium. RNAcentral's name for it is "partial 16S ribosomal RNA". It matches the Rfam family "Bacterial small subunit ribosomal RNA", at positions 28 to 507 of the family's 1533-position model. The record is from RNAcentral.
GAUGAACGCUGACAGAAUGCUUAACACAUGCAAGUCAACUUGAAUUUGGGUUUUUAUCUUCGGUUUGGGUGGCGGACGGGUGAGUAACGCGUAAAGAACUUGCCUCACAGCUAGGGACAACAUUUGGAAACGAAUGCUAAUACCUAAUAUUAUGAUAAUAGGGCAUCCUAUAAUUAUGAAAGCUAUAAGCGCUGUGAGAGAGCUUUGCGUCCCAUUAGCUAGUUGGAGAGGUAACGGCUCACCAAGGCGAUGAUGGGUAGCCGGCCUGAGAGGGUGAUCGGCCAAAAGGGGACUGAGACACGGCCCUAACUACUACGGGAGGCAGCAGUGGGGAAUAAUGGACAAUGGACCGAGAGUCUGAUACAGCAAUUCUGUGUGAACGAUGAAGUUUUUCGGAAUGUAAAGGGCUUUCAGUUGGGAAGAAACAAAUGACGGUACCAACAGAAGAAGUGACGGCUAAAUACGUG